GAUGAAGAACGUAGCGAAAUGCGAUAAGUAGUGUGAAUUGCAGAAUUCAGUGAAUCAUCGAAUCUUUGAACGCACAUUGCGCCCUUUGGUAUUCCUUAGGGCAUGCCUGUUCGAGCGUCAUCUAAACCUUCAAGCACUGCUUGGUGUUGGGUGCCUGUCCCGCUCCCGCGCGUGGACUCACCUCAAAUCCAUUGGCGGCCCUCACGUCGGCUACGAGCGCAGCAGAAACGCGAACUUGUGGACCCGGCGGAGUGGCUCCCAGAAGCUACAUUCACCAUUUUGACCUCGGAUCAGGUAGGGAUACCCGCUGAACUUAAGCAUAUCAAUAAGCGGAGGA
RNAcentral lists this unclassified non-coding RNA (337 nucleotides) under soil metagenome. RNAcentral describes it as "partial contains 5.8S ribosomal RNA, internal transcribed spacer 2, and large subunit ribosomal RNA". The stretch from base 1 to 120 matches the Rfam family "5.8S ribosomal RNA", at positions 35 to 154 of the family's 154-position model. The record is from RNAcentral.